RNAcentral lists this long non-coding RNA (1370 nucleotides) under Brassica napus (rape). RNAcentral describes it as "long non-coding RNA (BNAP_LNC023756)". The record is from RNAcentral. Lineage: Eukaryota; Viridiplantae; Streptophyta; Magnoliopsida; Brassicales; Brassicaceae.
ACCAACAUACACGGCCCGAAGGCAAAACAUAGAUUUCCUUAUUUGAUUCCAUUACUUAGUCAUGUACUUUACUUAUUUAAGUUCAUUCCUCUAUUUAUGUUCUUUCCUUAAUUAAUCUGGUCCCUAGUGCAUUCCUAUAACGUUUUCUCCUUAGUAUACCAAUUUCAUUCAAGAUCAAUUCUACGUUUAUUCACAUAAACAUAUCAAUUUAAACAUAUCAAUGAUCACACACAAUCUAAUAAGAAAGUAUCCUAAGAACACAAGAACGUUCUUCUAUCCUUAAGAACCAUCUUGAAGAACGAAGAACGAACUUUCCAUAAAUGAUUCCUCUAACGCAUAUUUAUCAUCCUAACGAACCAACUAUAACAAAGAUAUUAAUUAUUAAGCUGCCACGAAUCACACCCUCACCUUAGCUGGAUCUCUAGGAUUCGAAGACUCUGAACUUCCUUGCGUUUUCUGGUGAAGAACUCUUUAGCUCCUCCUCAUUCGAUCCCUCUUCUCAAACUUCUCUCUCUACAAACUCGUUCUUGCUCUGACUUCUCUGUAAAUCUAGUUUUCUUGGUUGUGUAAAAAAAUGAGAGCUCAAAGGGUCCUUAUAUAGGAAUUUUUAAGCUUUCUCACCAAGCCGGACACUUAAUGUCAGUUUCCUUAUUUGGCUUGGUCAAAAAUCACCAUCAGUGGCAUGAUCUGAUUCUUUCCUUAGAUUACUCCUGCCGAUCCGACUUUCCUUUUGUAUUAUCCUGCAAUUGUGGCUAGUCAAACUUUCUUAAUUUGGAACCCCCAUUAUCCAACAGUCGAACAUUCUUUAACUGGUCUUGCGGUCUUGAUUUCUCCGUAUGUUUGCUCUGAUUGUUCCAUGAUCGGUUUACCAUCGCUCGACCCAUUCUGAAUAUUUCCCAUGGAUUCAUUGAAGAUCCGGUACUUAUUUAAAAAUACAUUUAUUCUUGCAAUCUUCACGAAUAUAAGUGUCACCACACUUAGAAAAAUAGACUCCUUAUUGAUUUAAACUUCUCACAAUUUAUUUUCUUCGAAUUUAAAAAUAUUCCGGGAACGGGUCAUUACAGAGAAUAUCGAAUCUCUCUCUCAAUUAUAGGUCUUUUGUUCAAGACUCUUCUUUUCUUUAUCAACGUUCAAGACUCUAGAGUGAGAGAGAAAGAAAGACAAAAAGCCAAAAAUUCUCUCGAAGAUCAAUAAGAUUUUUUUUUCACCUUUGGAUUCUCUCCCUCUCUUUAAUACUACUACCACUACUUGGCACUUGCUACUAGCCCUUGUGAUUAUUGCGGUUCAUAAAUUCUGUGUGCCUACUCAGUUCGUGCGUGGGAUACACACACUCCAAUCUCUUUCUGCUCUCUAUAAAAAAAAAAUUUAAU